UACAGAGGGUGCGAGCGUUAAUCGGAAUUACUGGGCGUAAAGGGCGCGUAGGUGGUUACUUAAGUUAGAUGUGAAAUCCCUGGGCUUAACCUAGGAAUUGCGUUUAAUACUGAGUAGCUAGAGUAUGGUAGAGGUAAGUGGAAUUUCCAGUGUAGCGGUGAAAUGCGUAGAUAUUGGAAGGAACACCAGUGGCGAAGGCGACUUACUGGACCAUUACUGACACUGAGGCGCGAAAGCGUGGGGAGCGAACAGG
This 253-nucleotide ribosomal RNA is filed under the name uncultured bacterium. Its description in RNAcentral is "partial 16S ribosomal RNA". It matches the Rfam family "Bacterial small subunit ribosomal RNA", at positions 524 to 776 of the family's 1533-position model. The record is from RNAcentral.